GUCCAUGGUGGCUCAGAUGGAUAGAGCGUCUGCCAUGUAAGCAGAAGAUCCCGGGUUCGAAUCCCGGUCGGGACA
RNAcentral lists this transfer RNA (75 nucleotides) under Schistocerca americana (American grasshopper). Its description in RNAcentral is "tRNA-Thr". It matches the Rfam family "tRNA". From Rfam's summary of the family: Transfer RNA (tRNA) molecules are approximately 80 nucleotides in length. Lineage: Eukaryota; Metazoa; Arthropoda; Insecta; Orthoptera; Acrididae. The record is from RNAcentral.